This 877-nucleotide ribosomal RNA is filed under the name Escherichia coli. RNAcentral's name for it is "partial 23S ribosomal RNA". It matches the Rfam family "Bacterial large subunit ribosomal RNA", at positions 308 to 1191 of the family's 2925-position model. The record is from RNAcentral. Lineage: Bacteria; Pseudomonadati; Pseudomonadota; Gammaproteobacteria; Enterobacterales; Enterobacteriaceae.
GCCUGAAUCAGUGUGUGUGUUAGUGGAAGCGUCUGGAAAGGCGCGCGAUACAGGGUGACAGCCCCGUACACAAAAAUGCACAUACUGUGAGCUCGAUGAGUAGGGCGGGACACGUGGUAUCCUGUCUGAAUAUGGGGGGACCAUCCUCCAAGGCUAAAUACUCCUGACUGACCGAUAGUGAACCAGUACCGUGAGGGAAAGGCGAAAAGAACCCCGGCGAGGGGAGUGAAAAAGAACCUGAAACCGUGUACGUACAAGCAGUGGGAGCCUCUUUUAUGGGGUGACUGCGUACCUUUUGUAUAAUGGGUCAGCGACUUAUAUUCUGUAGCAAGGUUAACCGAAUAGGGGAGCCGAAGGGAAACCGAGUCUUAACUGGGCGUUAAGUUGCAGGGUAUAGACCCGAAACCCGGUGAUCUAGCCAUGGGCAGGUUGAAGGUUGGGUAACACUAACUGGAGGACCGAACCGACUAAUGUUGAAAAAUUAGCGGAUGACUUGUGGCUGGGGGUGAAAGGCCAAUCAAACCGGGAGAUAGCUGGUUCUCCCCGAAAGCUAUUUAGGUAGCGCCUCGUGAAUUCAUCUCCGGGGGUAGAGCACUGUUUCGGCAAGGGGGUCAUCCCGACUUACCAACCCGAUGCAAACUGCGAAUACCGGAGAAUGUUAUCACGGGAGACACACGGCGGGUGCUAACGUCCGUCGUGAAGAGGGAAACAACCCAGACCGCCAGCUAAGGUCCCAAAGUCAUGGUUAAGUGGGAAACGAUGUGGGAAGGCCCAGACAGCCAGGAUGUUGGCUUAGAAGCAGCCAUCAUUUAAAGAAAGCGUAAUAGCUCACUGGUCGAGUCGGCCUGCGCGGAAGAUGUAACGGGGCUAAACCAUG